UUUUCUGAAUCUUCUAAUAAAACAGGCAUCCGGGAGCCAUGUAUCAUGUUUGCCUGGGGCUUCGGAUCUUCUUUGGAAGCCCUUUUAUGUGCCAAUAAAAAACGAGCGAUUAUAGCAGACGAUGAAAAGCAGCUAGCGCCUCGGAGCCACUGUGUGUUUGGAAAGAGUGGGUACGUUUCCCCCGAGAAUGACACGAUCUGGUCCUUUCUCCUUCGUUACGGAAUCAGGCAGAGAGGAGCUCUUGUUAAAGAAACGCAGAGAUUUCCACCAUCACUGUCCCCACUUGUGUGUGUGGUUGGAGGGCGGGGGCCCGGGGGGUGGCGAAGGGGAAGGAACACAGAACAAACAACCCUCUCUGGCUUUCCUAGUUUAAUACGUUCUUUUUUCUUUGUGAAAGGGAGGGCCAUAAGCCAAGGGCAGUAGCCAUGACCACCAGGGGCAAUUAACUCGCCCUUUUAAUUACUAGUCCUUCUCCGAAGACUCCAAAACCCUCACCAUUUCUAGAAUGGACAAAAGCCAGGUUGGAAGAGACCUCAAAAGGCCAUCCCCUCCCCCAGGAGCACAAGCGGGAAUCUCUCAUGUGCUUAAGGAGAACAGGUAGAGUCCUUGCACCGUCCCUAGAAGGCCAUCAAGGGGGCGAAUCCCCUUACCCCCGCCCCCUGUCCUGAGAACCGGAAACGAGGGAGGAUCCCAGGGUAUACUUGUGAAUCCAGGGUCGCGAUGCACAUGGAGCUGUGGUGUCCACACCCCACUGCUGAGCCAUUCGGGCAGCUAGGAGGCACGGCCACGGCCAGGAGCGGUGCAGGGCUGGAGACCCCGGGCUGCCCUAGAAAGUGUGCACCCCUCCUCCCCGUGCCUGGUUAGCCUGUCUCGGUGUCAAGUGUCAGGCAAGGAUGGACAUUAGAUUUCACGGGGUAUAAGCUACGGUGUCAGCCCUAACCUUGAACGUGUAGUGCCUGCACGGAUCGAAAUCCAGAAUAGGCAUCGAUUAGGGGGAACUACUGGACCAGGUGUAGACCUGCUGAGCUUUAAUCCUAGAUUCUCCAGUCACUACCACAUGGCCUUAGGCCAGGGGUUUCACCCUGGGGUGGUUUCACCGCACCCCAGGAGACGUUGGCAAUGUCUGGAGCCAUUUUUGUUGUCACGACUGAGGGGGUGGCGGUGAUCUUGGCAUCCAGUGGGCAGAGGCCACGGAUGCCACUUAAACAUCCUACAACACACAGAAUAGCUCCCCCAACAAAGGAUUAUUAGCCCC
This 1255-nucleotide long non-coding RNA is filed under the name Felis catus (domestic cat). RNAcentral's name for it is "lncRNA (ENSFCAG00000051344.1)". The record is from RNAcentral. Lineage: Eukaryota; Metazoa; Chordata; Mammalia; Carnivora; Felidae.